ACGUACUAUGGUUUCCGUCUAUGGACAGUUUAAAUAACACUGAAAAAGUUAGUUAUACCCUACAUAAUGAAUCAUCAAAAAUGGUGUACAUCUGGAUUUCUAAAGAGGCGGUCCGAUCUUUAUUCAAAGGAGUUCAAACACAUGGAAUACUCCACUAUAAAAUCACCCCUGAAAUGCUUACCCCCGACAAUCCGGGACUAAAUACUUCUUGCGCAGAGAAAGUUUGUGUCGGGCGUCUUGUACCAGAGCUCGAAGAGAAAUAUCCGAAUCAAUAUAUGGACUUGGACAUCUACAGUUUGGAGACGCCAAAUGUGAGUUUGAGAAGAAUUUGGCGGUGAUAAAAUUCUAUACAGUCAUGUUUGCAUACGUCCGGAAUCCAGAAAGCAACAUUUCUACACUGAUUGCUAAACUUGAUGGAAAUGCUGAGAUGCGAAUCAGAAACUUUAUGACCAAUUCUACUUUUCAGGGGAAAAUCGUUGCGUUUGAGCCAUAUCUAAAAAAAGUGGAGUCAUCUGUCCACGGUUUUGAUGUAAGUUUAUAAUCUGGAAUAG
Long non-coding RNA from Saccostrea cuccullata (small rock oyster), 551 nucleotides. RefSeq lists it as uncharacterized. The transcript has 5 exons. The record is from RefSeq and is a predicted model, not a curated record. NCBI's taxonomy places the organism in Eukaryota, Metazoa, Mollusca, Bivalvia, Ostreida, Ostreidae.